This 433-nucleotide ribosomal RNA is filed under the name uncultured bacterium. Its description in RNAcentral is "partial 16S ribosomal RNA". It matches the Rfam family "Bacterial small subunit ribosomal RNA", at positions 28 to 507 of the family's 1533-position model. The record is from RNAcentral.
AACGAACGCUGGCGGCAGGCCUAACACAUGCAAGUCGAGCGGACACUUCGGGGUUAGCUGCGGACGGCGGGGUAACGCGGGGGGACGUGCCCUUUGCUUCGGAAUAGCUCUGGGAAACUGGGAUUAAUGCCGGAUACGCCCUUAUGGGGAAAGAUCUCUCGGGGCAGGGUCGGCCCGCGUUGGAUUAGGUGGUUGGUGGGGGAAUGGCGGACCAAGCCGUGGAUCCAUAGCUGGUUGGGGAGGAGGACACGCCGCGCUGGGACUGCGACACGGCCCAGACUCCUACGGGAGGGAGCAGUGGGGAAUCUUAGACGAUGGGGGAAACCCUGAUCUAGCCACGCCGGGUGAGCGAUGAAGGGCUUAGGGUUGUAAAGCCGCUUCAGCGGGGAAGAGAAUGACGGUACCGGGAGAAGAAGCCCCGGCUAACUCCGUG